UUGCGCAAUAAUUUCAUUAAGGUGUGUUUUGAAGCAGCUUGAAAUUGAAUUUCGGAAAUAUUUCGUUAUUUUGAAUAAACUUUGAUUCUGCACUUUUUUUUAACGGUUCAAUCGCAUUCUAAGAAAUAACACAGUAACUAAGUCAAAAGCAUGCAUUUUCGAACAGCAUUUUCGUUCGGCGAUCAGCAAAAUAUGAAUUAUAUACCUUUGCAA
RNAcentral lists this long non-coding RNA (213 nucleotides) under Mytilus galloprovincialis (Mediterranean mussel). Lineage: Eukaryota; Metazoa; Mollusca; Bivalvia; Mytilida; Mytilidae. The record is from RNAcentral.